UAAGGCCUGCACAGCUCGUUAGAUUAUUGUUUCCUAGACCGAUAAUUUUUUCUUUUAGGGAGCUAUCCCUGAUAAGACCGUGGUCUUGUUAAAUGGCGCCCACCUGUAACGUACGGGUCUUGAGAGAACUUAUUAGUCGACGGCUGACGUGGGCCAUAA
This 159-nucleotide non-coding RNA is filed under the name Rickettsiales bacterium Ac37b. RNAcentral's name for it is "6S / SsrS RNA". It matches the Rfam family "6S / SsrS RNA". From Rfam's summary of the family: E. coli 6S RNA was the first non coding RNA to be sequenced, but its function was unknown until recently. It consists of 184 nucleotides that fold into an extended hairpin structure with a large single-stranded internal bulge. Lineage: Bacteria; Pseudomonadati; Pseudomonadota; Alphaproteobacteria; Rickettsiales. The record is from Rfam by way of RNAcentral.